This 253-nucleotide ribosomal RNA is filed under the name uncultured bacterium. Its description in RNAcentral is "partial 16S ribosomal RNA". It matches the Rfam family "Bacterial small subunit ribosomal RNA", at positions 524 to 776 of the family's 1533-position model. The record is from RNAcentral.
UACGUAGGGUGCAAGCGUUGUCCGGAAUUAUUGGGCGUAAAGAGCUCGUAGGCGGUCUGUCGCGUCUGCUGUGAAAACUCAGGGCUUAACCCUGAGCUUGCAGUGGGUACGGGCAGACUAGAGUGCGGUAGGGGAGACUGGAAUUCCUGGUGUAGCGGUGAAAUGCGCAGAUAUCAGGAGGAACACGGGUGGCGAAGGCGGGUCUCUGGGCCGUAACUGACGCUGAGGAGCGAAAGCAUGGGGAGCGAACAGG